UGCAGGAAAGCAGGGGACCGCAAGGCCUUGCGCUCUUUGAGCGGCCGAUGUCAGAUUAGCUAGUUGGUGAGGUAAAGGCUUACCAAGGCGACGAUCUGUAGCGGGUCUGAGAGGAUGAUCCGCCACACUGGAACUGAGACACGGUCCAGACUCCUACGGGAGGCAGCAGUGGGGAAUUUUGGACAAUGGGGGCAACCCUGAUCCAGCCAUGCCGCGUGAGUGAAGAAGGCCUUCGGGUUGUAAAGCUCUUUCGGCCGGGAAGAAAUCGCAUGGGCCAAUACCCUGUGUGGAUGACGGUACCGGAAUAAGAAGCACCGGCUAACUACGUGCCAGCAGCCGCGGUAAUACGUAGGGUGCGAGCGUUAAUCGGAAUUACUGGGCGUAAAGCGUGCGCAGGCGGUUUUGUAAGACAGGCGUGAAAUCCCCGGGCUUAACCUGGGAACUGCGUUUGUGACUGCAAGGCUAGAGUACGGCAGAGGGGGGUGGAAUUCCACGUGUAGCAGUGAAAUGCGUAGAGAUGUGGAGGAACACCAAUGGCGAAGGCAGCCCCCUGGGUCGAUACUGACGCUCAUGCACGAAAGCGUGGGUAGCAAACAGGAUUAGAUACCCUGGUAGUCCACGCCCUAAACUAUGUCAACUAGGUGUUGGGUGGGUAAAACCAUUUAGUACCGUAGCUAACGCGUGAAGUUGACCGCCUGGGGAGUACGGCCGCAAGGUUAAAACUCAAAGGAAUUGACGGGGACCCGCACAAGCGGUGGAUGAUGUGGAUUAAUUCGAUGCAACGCGAAAAACCUUACCUACCCUUGACAUGCCAGGAACUUGCCAGAGAUGGCUUGGUGCCCGAAAGGGAGCCUGGACACAGGUGCUGCAUGGCUGUCGUCAGCUCGUGUCGUGAGAUGUUGGGUUAAGUCCCGCAACGAGCGCAACCCUUGUCGUUAAUUGCCAUCAUUUAGUUGGGCACUUUAACGAGACUGCCGGUGACAAACCGGAGGAAGGUGGGGAUGACGUCAAGUCCUCAUGGCCCUUAUGGGUAGGGCUUCACACGUCAUACAAUGGUCGGUACAAAGGGUUGCCAAGCCGCGAGGCGGAGCCAAUCCCAGAAAGCCGAUCGUAGUCCGGAUUGCAGGCUGCAACUCGCCUGCAUGAAGUCGGAAUCGCUAGUAAUCGUGGAUCAGCAUGUCACGGUGAAUACGUUCCCGGGUCUUGUACACACCGCCCGUCACACCAUGGGAGCGGGUUCCGCCAGAAGUAGGUGGCCUAACCGCAAGGGGGGCGCUUACCACGGCGGGGUUCGUGACUGGGGUGAAGUCGAAACAAGGUA
Molecule: ribosomal RNA, 1321 nt
Filed under: metagenome
Description: bacterial SSU rRNA
Rfam family: Bacterial small subunit ribosomal RNA
Source: RNAcentral